This is a non-coding RNA of Dictyostelium purpureum, 45 nucleotides long. NCBI's taxonomy places the organism in Eukaryota, Evosea, Eumycetozoa, Dictyosteliales, Dictyosteliaceae. The record is from Rfam.
UUAAAGGUAUUUUUAAAUACCAUCCAAAUUAAAAAAACAACAAUA